Molecule: unclassified non-coding RNA, 275 nt
Filed under: Hevea brasiliensis (rubber tree)
Lineage: Eukaryota; Viridiplantae; Streptophyta; Magnoliopsida; Malpighiales; Euphorbiaceae
Source: RNAcentral
AGAGUAGGUAAAAGUAGUCUCCCUACAACAUAUGCAAAUUAGUUGAACAGUUCAGCAUGCACAAUUAUGGCAAAAUGUACUUAUAUAGGGGUAUUCAGACAUCCAACAGAAAUAAAUAUUUACUACCUAUUUCCCAACUAUGAAGGAAAACAUGCUCUAAAAUAUGGUCAUUUGCAAAAUUCACAAGUUCAAGAACUUAAAUUUAACCAAAAAGAUGGAAGAAAGGAAGUUGACUUCAAUUAUUUUGAGAUCGUGUGUGUGUGUGUGUGUGUGUA